Molecule: long non-coding RNA, 2198 nt
Filed under: Homo sapiens (human)
Lineage: Eukaryota; Metazoa; Chordata; Mammalia; Primates; Hominidae
Description: HSALNT0259118
Source: RNAcentral
CCCAUUGGCCGCCGUUUCCGGAAGCCCGCCCUCCCAUUUCCGGAAGCCUGGCGCAAGGUUGGUCUGCAGGUGGCCUCCAGGUGCAAAGUGGGAAGUGUGAGUCCUCAGUCUUGGGCUAUUCGGCCACGUGCCUGCCGGACAUGGGACGCUGGAGGGUCAGCAGCGUGGAGUCCUGGCCUUUUGCGUCCACGGGUGGGAAAUUGGCCAUUGCCACGGCGGGAACUGGGACUCAGGCUGCCCCCCGGCCGUUUCUCAUCCGUCCACCGGACUCGUGGGCGCUCGCACUGGCGCUGAUGUAGUUUCCUGACCUCUGACCCGUAUUGUCUCCAGAUUAAAGGUACGACAUUUGGAGGCCCCAGCGAGAAACGUCACCGGGAGAAACGUCACCGGGCGAGAGCCGGGCCCGCUGUGUGCUCCCCCGGAAGGACAGCCAGCUUGUAGGGGGGAGUGCCACCUGAAAAAAAAAUUUCCAGGUCCCCAAAGGGUGACCGUCUUCCGGAGGACAGCGGAUCGACUACCAUGUGGGUGCCCACAAAAAUUCCACCUCUGAGUCCUCAACUGCUGACCCCGGGGUCAGUAGACACGGGGUUUCACCAUGUUGGCCAGGCCGGUCUUGAACUUGUGACGUCAGGUGAUGCACCCGCCUUGGCCUCCCAAAGUGCUGGGAUUACAGGUCCAGAUUUUGAACAAAUCUCGCUAGAGAUUGAACAGAGCUGCGCCUGGAUCCCGCCACAGUGAGGAGACCUGAAGACCAGAGAAAACACAGCAAGCCCCUGGAUCCUCCUGGAAUCCCCGAUCCCUCUUGCUCCCUGGCAGAGUUUUCUAGUCCCUCUUACUUGAAGCAUGUCUUUCAGAGCCCGGCACCACCCAUCUUGAGUAUCUGGUGGAUUUUCACAUCUCAAGCCAGCUAAGAGUAUGGGAAAUAGGACUCGUUAAAGCACAGAUAUCACACAAGUGAUUCAGAUUCACGAGGGUAAUCCAGAUGAAGGUAUAUCAUUGUACCUGGCCCGCAUCACUCAGUAACUGUCACCUUUGAUUUAUUGAUUUACUUGAGAUGGAGUUUGGUUCUGUCCCCGAGGCCGGAGUGCAAUGGCGUGAUCUCUGCUCACUACAACCUCUGCCUCCCAGGUUCAGAGUGAUUCUCCUGCCUCAGCCUCUUUAGCUGGGAUUACAGGCACCCACCAACAUGCCCAGCUAAUUUUUGUAUUUUUAGUAGAGAGGAGCUUUCACCAUAAUGGCCAGGCUGGUCUUGAACCUCAAAUGAUCUGCCCACCUUGGCCUCCCAAAGUGCUAGGAUUACAGGCUGGAGCUACAGAGCCCAGCCUGUCACCUUGAUUUAAAUGAAUGCAGCUUUCUUGGUGUCUUGAUGUUUGUGAAUUUCUGUGGAGUUUGAUACUGCUCCUUUUGCUGCUUGUUUUUCCAGAGUCCCCUUAUCACUUGACGUGCUGUUAUAUUAUGUUUGAUUUAUUACAGAUACCCCAUCAGCCUGAGUCUCUUAAAGGCCUUUAUACACAUAUGUCUACACAUAGGGAUUUGGAUGAUCUCGGGAUCCCACAUCCUCGCUGUCCCCUGUCCCCCCGCAACAUCCCCCACCAAUACCUUUCUGAAGUUUUCUAGUCCCUCCUUUUUGUUUGUGCUCCUUAAAGCCCAGCCCCAUGCCUGACUUUGGUUCCCAGUGAGCAUUGUACAUUUGUGGAUAUUAAAUCUUUGGCAAAGUCAUUUACCUGGGCUGGAAUAGGGCUCUUGGCUGAUUCUUUUUCCUAAACACCCACCCAAUGGGAGAGGCUGAUACUCAACAUGCAAACCUUGUGUUUUAUUUCUCCAGGCGAAGGGAUGUUGGAAGACAUUCUGGAAGGGGUGGGGUGUGAAGAUUUACAAAUAAUCUUUGAAUAUCUGCUUCAUGAUAGGUCUUGGAGGUGCCUUGUGGGUGUGGCUUUGGGGGGAUGGUUACGAGGAAAUUGUGGAUAUUAAGGAAGUCAGGAAAGGAAAAGAUCAGUCACAAUUCAACAAUUCAGAGAAAGCUCCUAAGGGACUUUCUGGCUGCUUGAUGCCCAGAGGCCAGGCCCUCACUUCGUAUUAAGGCUCAGGACUGUGGAUAGAGAAUUUAAAGGGGCACCAAAAAAAACAUUAAAAUAGAUAAACAUAUUUUUAAUGGAAUACCUUUAAAAAUGCAAAUCAAUGCACAAAGAAAACGCCCA